Molecule: ribosomal RNA, 497 nt
Filed under: uncultured bacterium
Lineage: Bacteria
Description: partial 16S ribosomal RNA
Rfam family: Bacterial small subunit ribosomal RNA
Source: RNAcentral
GAUGAACGCUGGCGGCGUGCCUAAUACAUGCAAGUCGAGCGAACGGACGAGAAGCUUGCUUCUCUGAUGUUAGCGGCGGACGGGUGAGUAACACGUGGAUAACCUACCUAUAAGACUGGGAUAACUUCGGGAAACCGGAGCUAAUACCGGAUGAUAUUUUGAACCGCAUGGUUCAAAAGUGAAAGACGGUCUUGCUGUCACUUAUAGAUGGAUCCGCGCUGCAUCAGCUAGUUGGUAAGGUAACGGCUUACCAAGGCAACGAUGCAUAGCCGACCUGAGAGGGUGAUCGGCCACACUGGAACUGAGACACGGUCCAGACUCCUACGGGAGGCAGCAGUAGGGAAUCUUCCGCAAUGGGCGAAAGCCUGACGGAGCAACGCCGCGUGAGUGAUGAAGGUCUUCGGAUCGUAAAACUCUGUUAUUAGGGAAGAACAUAUGUGUAAGUAACUGUGCACAUCUUGACGGUACCUAAUCAGAAAGCCACGGCUAACUACGUG